This is a long non-coding RNA of Bactrocera tryoni, 645 nucleotides long. RefSeq lists it as uncharacterized. Lineage: Eukaryota; Metazoa; Arthropoda; Insecta; Diptera; Tephritidae. The transcript has 4 exons. The record is from RefSeq and is a predicted model, not a curated record.
UUACCCUAACCACCAUCACUGUCGUUUGAAUUUUGUGGAAGCGUUUUAUGUGUCGAAAGUGUUUUCCGGGAAAUAGCAUAUUUAAACGUAUUGCUUAUACAAAAUAAUAUUAACAAAAGUGUGUGCAAGUGUUUGUAAAUAAAGUGUGCAUGUGUACAACUACAAUGCGUUGAUUUGUAACAUAAAAGUGCAAACUCAUGCAAGUGUCCUCGGCGCAAAUCGUGUUAUAACCUGCAAUUUUUACAGUUACAUGUUGUUAGUGCUGCGCUAGGGAUAACAGCGCUCUAACUGUGUUUUAGUAAUUAUCAUAUUUACACCAACUAAUGGAUUAGUUAAAGCGACAGCGCAGAAAUCUAAAAAAAUAGCGCACACGAGGAACCGCAUGGCAACAAAACACUAGACAUUGGAGCUCAGCUUUCAUAAUUACAUACUAAGAUAUUAGAGCUUCGCUCUCUAACCCAGCUUCUACCGAACUCGCCUAGGCGCUCUCGUUUAGCACUAUUUUCUACUCGGCGAAUGCACUUCCGAGAACCCGACAGUAAUGGCUUUUCAAAUAACAUUGCAUAACCGACAGGACAAAAAUGAUACAAUUAAUAAACACUUCUUCGUUUCCAAGUUUUUCGAAAAUUUCAAAUUGAACUAUGU